GACGAACGCUGGCGGCGUGCUUAACACAUGCAAGUCGUACGGUAAGGCCCUUUCGGGGGUACACGAGUGGCGCACGGGUGGGUAACACGUGCGUAACCUGCCCACAACUUUGGGAUAACGCUAGGAAACUGGUGCUAAUUCUGGAUAUGUUCUCCUUCUGCAUGGUGGGGGUUGGAAAGCUCCGGCGGGUGGGGAUGGACUCGCGGCCUAUCAGCUUGUUGGUGGGGUAGUGGCCUACCAAGGCGGCGACGGGUAGCCGGCCUGAGAGGGUGACCGGCCACAGUGGGACUUAGAGACGGCCCAGACUCCUACGGGAGGCAGGAGGGGGGAAUAUUGCACAAUGGGCGCAAGCCUGAUGCAGCAACGCCGCGGGCGGGAUGACGGCCUUCGGGUUGGAAACCGCUUUCAGCAGGGACGAAGCUUUUUGUGACGGUACCUGCAGAAGAAGCACCGGCCAACUACGUG
This 465-nucleotide ribosomal RNA is filed under the name uncultured bacterium. RNAcentral describes it as "partial 16S ribosomal RNA". It matches the Rfam family "Bacterial small subunit ribosomal RNA", at positions 28 to 507 of the family's 1533-position model. The record is from RNAcentral.